This 253-nucleotide ribosomal RNA is filed under the name uncultured prokaryote. Its description in RNAcentral is "partial 16S ribosomal RNA". It matches the Rfam family "Bacterial small subunit ribosomal RNA", at positions 525 to 777 of the family's 1533-position model. The record is from RNAcentral.
ACGGAGGGUGCGAGCGUUGUCCGGAAUCACUGGGCGUAAAGGGCGCGUAGGCGGCAUGCCAAGCGUGUGGUGAAAGCCCGGGGCUCAACCCCGGGUCUGCCGUGCCGACUGUCAAACUCGAGGGCUGUAGAGGCAGACGGAAUUCCGGGUGUAGCGGUGGAAUGCGUAGAGAUCCGGAGGAAGACCGGUGGCGAAGGCGGUCUGCUGGGCAGUUUCUGACACUGAUGCGCGACAGCGUGGGGAGCAAACAGGA